RNAcentral lists this ribosomal RNA (406 nucleotides) under uncultured bacterium. Its description in RNAcentral is "partial 16S ribosomal RNA". It matches the Rfam family "Bacterial small subunit ribosomal RNA", at positions 355 to 774 of the family's 1533-position model. The record is from RNAcentral.
UCGAGAAUCUUCCGCAAUGGGCGAAAGCCUGACGGAGCGACGCCGCGUGGUGGAUGAAGCCCUUUGGGGCGUAAACACCUUUUAUGAGGGAGGAAGUUUAUUGACGUUACCUCAUGAAUAAGGGGCUCCCAACUCUGUGCCAGCAGGAGCGGUAAUACAGAGGCCCCAAGCAUUAUCCGGAUUCACUGGGCGUAAAGGGUGCGUAGGCGGUGUGAUUAGUCAGGUGUUAAAUCCUGGGGCUUAACCUCAGAAUCGCAUUUGAAACGGUCAUACUAGAAGAAGUCAGAGGUAAACAGAACUCUCGGUGUAGGGGUGAAAUCCGUUGAUAUCGAGGGGAAUACCAAAUGCGAAGGCAGUUUACUGGGACUUUCUUGACGCUGAGGCACGAAAGCGUGGGUAGCGAAUC